This 253-nucleotide ribosomal RNA is filed under the name uncultured bacterium. RNAcentral describes it as "partial 16S ribosomal RNA". It matches the Rfam family "Bacterial small subunit ribosomal RNA", at positions 524 to 776 of the family's 1533-position model. The record is from RNAcentral.
UACGUAGGUGGCAAGCGUUGUCCGGAUUUAUUGGGUUUAAAGGGUGCGUAGGUGGUCUAUUAAGUCAGUGCUGAAAUAUCCCGGCUUAACCGGGAGGGUGGCAUUGAUACUGAUGGACUUGAGUAAAGUUGAGGUAGGCGGAAUUGACGGUGUAGCGGUGAAAUGCUUAGAUAUCGUCAAGAACACCGAUAGCGAAGGCAGCUUACUAAGCUUUAACUGACGCUGAUGCACGAAAGUGUGGGGAUCAAACAGG